UUAUGAAUGGCGUAAAGAGGUCUUUUAGUGUUUUUGGAUACAACCGCUGAAAAACAUCGACUCUGGUAGCAUCUUUUCAAGGCAUAGUUGAUCCUCUUACCACCAACUUUCUGAGCAAUUUGGGCGUUGAAUUGCUCCACAAUAUUCGUUGUCACAUUUUCAAUGAGACUACAGGCAUGUUGGGCUAAAUAUCUAACCGCUUCCAUCAUUCUUCUUUCUAUAUCGAAUUGACGGAAAUCCGCCAUAAAAUUUGUAGUGUCAGGUUCUUUUUUAUCGCAGAAAUACUCCAGUUUUGCGCAAUUUUUAUGCUCGCCGAAAAUGUGGCUGACGCUAUUUAUUAUAUCCAUUUUCAGGAGUCUAAUUUUCUCUUCAUGGUUAUUUUCCGACUGUGAUUUUCUAAAAGACACUGCCUUAGUGACAGCAGUUCUACAUCGGAGAAUAUUUUUUGCUAUUACGCUUUUUAAAGUUCCUGGAACUCCGCGAGCGUUCGAAAGUUCUCGUAAUUUGUUGCAAUAGUUUCGCAACAGAUGGUUGGUGCAUUCGAUUUUUUGCACAGUGCAAUGUUCGUAGGGUCUACUGUCCAAAAUUUUCUUGUAGCAACUACUGUCCCCAUCGGCAAUCAUUUUAUUAUAAAUGAGGUUGUACAUUGGAACACUGGAGCAGAAACCUUCAGCAAUUAUACUGGCCUCCAUGGCUGUCGAUGAGGAUGUCCAAUUUUUAUAACAGGUAUGUGCUGCUGCUACCUCUCCCCUGUUCUCCGCUCUUUGACACAAUGUGCAAUACUUAUUUUUUACUCCUAAGUAGAGUACUUUUCCGGUUUUGAAGCCAACAAUAGUUGCCGCCCCGGAAAGAGAAUUAUAAUUUCCUCCACCACGAUAAGACCUUUUAGCCCAACUGCCAUCACAGACGACGGUAAUCAUAGGCGUUCCAUUUUCAUCCACGUUACCACAUUCCAAAGCUAAUUUUGCCUCUUCUGCUGCAGCUUCUGCCAUGGAUGUCCAAGCUAUACUUUCCCAGGCAUUGCACACCUCAUUAUGCACUCUCUUAUAUAAGGUGAAUGAAAAACAUGGAAUAUCCACACCUUCUAUAAUUUUUCUGAGCUGUGUAUAGCCACCUCCCGAGUUCAUAACACUACUUACAGCGGAUGCAUUUAUAUCAAGCUUCUCUGGAGUUUCCGGGCAUGUCGAUAUUAUUUUUGAAAACCCACACAUAUUGCAUACAAACUUUAGUUUUGAUUGCAAACCAAUUUUUGUUUCUUUCACCAGACGCAUGUUGGACAAAUUGCAUGCAAAUAUUUCUGAGUGACUUGAAAGUUCCUUCAUAGCAUCGAUGAAUUGCUGAAUGUAAACUAUCCGGGCUCCCUCUAAAGAUAUUUCACUGUAAAAGAGUUGGUGGAAUAUAAGAAGGUGUAACAGAGUAAUAAAUAUUUUGAAUAAAAUAAUGAAAAUAUUUCCAGAGCGAAAUGACGAAGCCGUGUAAUUCGAGGUGAUAAAUGGUUGAAGUAAACAUUAAUUCAAUAUUUACAAAAAGAAUGACAAGUAGUUCUCCAAAGAUGAUGAUUGAUGAUAGAUAUGAAAGAAAAGAUGAAAAGUUGGACUGAAACAUUUCAAAUGGUACUUUCCGAACAACCGCAGUGUCUUACUGAUCACCUGAGAUUGUUAUAAAAACUGCAAAAAACUUGGAGACCCUUUGUUGUUCCAGAGCCUUCAAUUUUUCUUGUAGAUACGAAAGCUACUCCAGCAUUACGGGCACUAAAAGCAUAUAAAAAUUGGUUGUACAAAUAAUAUUAUUGAUGUCAAAAUAACUUACCUCGUAUAUUUGAAUAAAUUAUUAUUUCUUU
Molecule: long non-coding RNA, 1840 nt
Organism: Coccinella septempunctata (seven-spotted ladybird)
Lineage: Eukaryota; Metazoa; Arthropoda; Insecta; Coleoptera; Coccinellidae
Exons: 2
Source: RefSeq, a predicted model, not a curated record